GACACUGAGGUCUCAGACAUGGAGACGGAGAAGGACUCUUGUUUGAGACGUCCAUCCUCAGGUGAUUUUAACAUUUAAGUCUUUCUUCUGGGUGAUUGUCCUGCACAACACAUGUCUUUAUGGAGAGGUGUGAACGGAGACCCACUUUGUUACUAGAAUAUGUUCAAAGACCAUUAAGACAACUUUAGUGAGUUAAUAACUGUCUGAUUUGUUAAAGAAUCCUCAGGAGGAAAAAGAAAGACGCCUUCCUCUGAGUGUGGUGAGGACACCCUGCCCUCAGGUAUCCCACAAACCCAUGCACCCUAUAAUCUUCCCUGUUUUCAUGUACACAGAGAAAUAUUAAAACAGAUUUUUUUUUUAACAGCAUCCUCUACACCAAGAAGGCCACACCAUGUCGAGUCAGACUGUGAUGAUGCUGAAGCAGGACCCUCUGAAGCAAAGAGACAAACUGUGACAUCUAUCACGGAUGACUCUGAAGAAGGAACCCAAAGAUACAACCGAGCACAGCUAGAUGAAUCCUCUGUUACAGAAAGCUCAAAGAGGAGGAGUUGGACACCAUUAGAAGUGCGUGCAGUGGAAAAGACUCUAAAGCUGUUCCUAGAUUCGGGCAAAGUUCCUGGGAAAGCAGACUGUGUGGAUUGCAUCAAGGCCUCACCACAAGAGUUAAAGACAAGAACCUGGAAGGCUGUUAAGUACUACAUUAAAAAUCGAAUCACAGCAGUUCAGCGGGAAAGUGCAAAGAUUUUAUCAGGCUUUUAUUUUGAGUACCUCCUCUACACUGGCGCUGAAGCUUUUGUUUUUAUUUUGUGAAGUCAGUACUUCCUCUACAGGGGAGCUGAAGCUUUUAUUUUUAAUUUGGAAAGUCGUUACGUCCUCUAGGGUGGCGGCAAAGCUUUUAUUUUAUUUGGGAAUGUUGGUAAAUCCUCUACGGUGGCGCUGAAGCUUUUAUUGUUUUGUUUUGGAAAGUGAGUACGUCCUCUACGGUGGUACUGAAGCUUUUAUUUUCAUUUUGGAAAAUCAGUAUGUCCUCUACCAUG
RNAcentral lists this long non-coding RNA (1037 nucleotides) under Gouania willdenowi (blunt-snouted clingfish). Its description in RNAcentral is "lncRNA (ENSGWIG00000020014.1)". The record is from RNAcentral. Lineage: Eukaryota; Metazoa; Chordata; Actinopteri; Blenniiformes; Gobiesocidae.